UAAUUUGAGAGUUUGAUCCUGGCUCAGGAUGAACGCUGGCGGCGUGCCUAAUACAUGCAAGUCGAACGAGUUCGCGUUGUUUCUGAAUUGUGCU
RNAcentral lists this ribosomal RNA (94 nucleotides) under Candidatus Gallilactobacillus intestinavium. Its description in RNAcentral is "partial 16S ribosomal RNA". It matches the Rfam family "Bacterial small subunit ribosomal RNA", at positions 1 to 92 of the family's 1533-position model. The record is from RNAcentral. Lineage: Bacteria; Bacillati; Bacillota; Bacilli; Lactobacillales; Lactobacillaceae.